This 871-nucleotide ribosomal RNA is filed under the name uncultured bacterium. RNAcentral describes it as "bacterial SSU rRNA". It matches the Rfam family "Bacterial small subunit ribosomal RNA", at positions 8 to 908 of the family's 1533-position model. The record is from RNAcentral.
AGAGUUUGAUCCUGGCUCAGGAUGAACGCGGCGGCGUGCCUAACACAUGCAAGUCGAGCGAUUCUCUUCGGAGAAAGAGCGGCGGACGGGUGAGUAACGCGUGGGUAACCUGCCCUGUACACACGGAUAACAUACCGAAAGGUAUGCUAAUACGGGAUAAUGUACUUUUGUCGCAUGGCAAAAGUAUCAAAGCUCCGGCGGUACAGGAUGGACCCGCGUCUGAUUAGCUAGUUGGAGAGGUAAUGGCUCACCAAGGCGACGAUCAGUAGCCGACCUGAGAGGGUGAUCGGCCACAUUGGAACUGAGACACGGUCCAAACUCCUACGGGAGGCAGCAGUGGGGAAUAUUGCACAAUGGGCGAAAGCCUGAUGCAGCAACGCCGCGUGAGCGAUGAAGGCCUUCGGGUCGUAAAGCUCUGUCCUCAAGGAAGAUAAUGACGGUACUUGAGGAGGAAGCCCCGGCUAACUACGUGCCAGCAGCCGCGGUAAUACGUAGGGGGCUAGCGUUAUCCGGAAUUACUGGGUGUAAAGGGUGCGUAGGUGGUUUCUUAAGUCAGAGGUGAAAGGCUACGGCUCAACCGUAGUAAGCCUUUGAAACUGAGAAACUUGAGUGCAGGAGAGGAGAGUAGAAUUCCUAGUGUAGCGGUGAAAUGCGUAGAUAUUAGGAGGAAUACCAGUUGCGAAGGCGGCUCUCUGGACUGUAACUGACACUGAGGCACGAAAGCGUGGGGAGCAAACAGGAUUAGAUACCCUGGUAGUCCACGCCGUAAACGAUGAGUACUAGGUGUCGGGGGUUACCCCCCUCGGUGCCGCAGCUAACGCAUUAAGUACUCCGCCUGGGAAGUACGCUCGCAAGAGUGAAACUCAAAUGA